ACAUUGUGCUUGCACAGAUGACGACCGGCGCACGGGUGCGUAACGCGUAUAGAACCUACCUUUUACAGAGGAAUAGCCUUUAGAAAUGAAGAUUAAUGCCUCAUAGUAUUGUAGACUGGCAUCAGUUUAUAAUUAAAGAUUUAUCGGUAAAAGAUGGCUAUGCGUCCUAUUAGUUAGUUGGUAAGGUAACGGCUUACCAAGACAGCGAUAGGUAGGGGUCCUGAGAGGGAGAUCCCCCACACUGGUACUGAGACACGGACCAGACUCCUACGGGAGGCAGCAGUGAGGAAUAUUGGACAAUGGAGGAGACUCUGAUCCAGCCAUGCCGCGUGUAGGAAGAAUGCCCUAUGGGUUGUAAACUACUUUUAUACAGGAAGAAACACUGGUAUGUAUACCAGCUUGACGGU
This 407-nucleotide ribosomal RNA is filed under the name uncultured Polaribacter sp. RNAcentral describes it as "bacterial SSU rRNA". It matches the Rfam family "Bacterial small subunit ribosomal RNA", at positions 71 to 476 of the family's 1533-position model. The record is from RNAcentral. Lineage: Bacteria; Pseudomonadati; Bacteroidota; Flavobacteriia; Flavobacteriales; Flavobacteriaceae.